This 492-nucleotide ribosomal RNA is filed under the name uncultured bacterium. Its description in RNAcentral is "partial 16S ribosomal RNA". It matches the Rfam family "Bacterial small subunit ribosomal RNA", at positions 28 to 504 of the family's 1533-position model. The record is from RNAcentral.
GACGAACGCUGGCGGCGUGCCUAAUACAUGCAAGUAGAACGCUGAAGGAGGAGCUUGCUUCUCUGGAUGAGUUGCGAACGGGUGAGUAACGCGUAGGUAACCUGCCUGGUAGCGGGGGAUAACUAUUGGAAACGAUAGCUAAUACCGCAUAAUAGUAGAUGUCGCAUGACAUUUGCUUAAAAGGUGCAAUUGCAUCACUACCAGAUGGACCUGCGUUGUAUUAGCUAGUUGGUGAGGUAACGGCUCACCAAGGCAACGAUACAUAGCCGACCUGAGAGGGUGAUCGGCCACACUGGGACUGAGACACGGCCCAGACUCCUACGGGAGGCAGCAGUAGGGAAUCUUCGGCAAUGGACGGAAGUCUGACCGAGCAACGCCGCGUGAGUGAAGAAGGUUUUCGGAUCGUAAAGCUCUGUUGUAAGAGAAGAACGAGUGUGAGAGUGGAAAGUUCACACUGUGACGGUAGCUUACCAGAAAGGGACGGCUAACUAC